Molecule: RNA transcript, 6212 nt
Organism: Malania oleifera
Lineage: Eukaryota; Viridiplantae; Streptophyta; Magnoliopsida; Santalales; Ximeniaceae
Gene name: callose synthase 12-like
Exons: 4
Source: RefSeq, a predicted model, not a curated record
UGCCACUUCAUCUCCCUCGCUUUCAGACGUUUUGAAGAAAACCUCCGCUCAGAAUAGUCGUACAAAUAUAAUAUUAUUCUUUCUCUCUCUACAUUUCUCUCUCUCUCUCUCUCUGCCUCAUCAGAUUCAGCACUCAGCAGCUUGGCCAAUUAGGAUCAGUCGGCAUCUUCGCCGGAGACUAAACAGUGGUACUGUUCGUCCGCCGGCACCACCAGGUCCGCCAUCAAAGUAUAGAUCUCCGGGGCCAUGAGCCGCCGCCACCGGCAACCACCCUCCGGCUCAGCCCCACGACCCAAUCCCUCCCCCUUACAAGAAGAAGCAGAAAAAGAAGAGGCCUACAAUAUCAUCCCAGUUCACAAUCUCCUCGCUGACCACCCGUCCCUCCGCUUCCCUGAGGUACGCGCCGCCGCGGCAGCCUUACGCACCGUCGGCAACCUCCCCAAACCCCACUUCUCGGAAUGGCUCCCCCACAUGGACCUUCUCGACUGGCUAGCGGCCUCCUUCGGGUUUCAGGCCGACAACGUCCGCAACCAGCGGGAGCACCUUGUCCUCCACCUCGCCAACGCACAGAUGCGCUUGCAGCCCCCUCCGGACAAUAUUGACUCACUGGACCUCACCGUUCUCCGCCGUUUCCGCAAGAAGCUCCUCAGGAACUACACCUCCUGGUGCUCCUACCUCGGCCGCAAGUCCAACGUUUGGAUCUCCGAUCGCCGCGAGGCCGCCAAUGACGCGCGCCGGGAGCUGCUUUACACGGCGCUAUAUCUCCUCAUAUGGGGUGAGUCCGCAAAUCUCAGAUUCGUACCCGAAUGCAUAUGUUACAUUUUUCAUCAUAUGGCGAUGGAAUUGAAUAGGAUUCUUGAGGAUUAUAUUGAUGAGAACACGGGGCGCCCUGUGCUCCCCUCUAUCUCUGGCGAAAACGCAUUCCUGAACCGCGUCGUAACGCCCAUUUACGAGACGAUUAGCGCCGAGGUCGAGGGAAGCAGGAACGGGACCGCCCCGCAUUCUGCCUGGAGGAAUUAUGAUGACAUAAAUGAGUAUUUUUGGACUCGCCGGUGUUUUGACAAGCUCAAGUGGCCAAUUGAUGUUGGAAGCAAUUUUUUUGUGACAUCCAGUAGGAGCAAGCGUGUGGGUAAGACUGGCUUUGUGGAGCAGAGGUCGUUUUGGAACUUGUUUCGGAGUUUUGAUAGGCUGUGGGUUAUGUUGAUUUUGUUUCUUCAGGCAGCGAUCAUUGUUGCUUGGGAGGGUAAUGACUACCCGUGGGACGCAUUGCGGAAUCGUGAGGUUCAGGCUCGGGUUCUCUCUGUGUUUUUGACCUGGAGUGUUUUGAGGUUCCUCCAAUCCCUUCUUGAUGCGGGUAUGCAGUACAGCUUGGUUUCAAGGGAGACUUUGGGGCUUGGAGUGAGGAUGGUUCUGAAGAGCAUAGUUGCUGCAGGGUGGAUUAUUGUGUUUGGGGUUUUGUAUGGGAGGAUUUGGUCACAGAGAAACAGUAACCGAAGGUGGUCUGGGGAGGCAAAUCGUCGGAUGGUGAUUUUUCUUGAGGCUGCAUUAGCUUUUGUUCUCCCAGAGCUUUUGGCGCUGGCUCUCUUUGUUCUUCCCUGGAUUCGGAAUUUCCUAGAGGAAACAAAUUGGAGGAUCUUCUACAUGUUGUCAUGGUGGUUUCAGAGCCGAACUUUUGUGGGACGUGGUUUAAGAGAAGGUCUUCUGGACAAUAUAAAGUACACAGUGUUCUGGGUGCUGGUCCUUGGUACAAAAUUUGUAUUUAGUUACUUCUUACAAAUCAAACCCAUGAUUGCCCCAACGAAAGCCCUUUUGGAUCUUAAAGAUGUGAAUUAUGAAUGGCAUCAGUUCUUUGACAACAGCAACAGAUUUUCUGUUGGGCUAUUGUGGCUUCCUGUCAUUUUGAUUUACCUCAUGGAUUUGCAGAUUUGGUAUUCCAUAUACUCGUCUUUUUUUGGUGCUGCAGUUGGGUUGUUCGCACAUUUGGGUGAGAUUCGAAACAUACAACAGUUGAGGUUGAGAUUCCAGUUCUUUGCAAGUGCGAUUCAGUUUAAUCUCAUGCCUGAGGAACAGUUACUAAAUGUGAGGGGAACACUGAGGAACAAGUUUAAUGAUGCCAUCCACCGAUUGAAAUUAAGGUAUGGGCUUGGCCGGCCUUAUAAGAAGCUCGAAUCAAACCAGGAGGCAAACAAGUUUGCUUUGAUCUGGAAUGAAAUAAUUUCCACAUUCCGGGAAGAAGAUAUUAUUAGUGAUCGUGAGGUUGAAUUGCUGGAGUUACCUCAAAAUUCGUGGAAUGUUAGGGUUAUUCGCUGGCCAUGUUUGCUACUGUGCAAUGAGCUGCUACUUGCUCUAAGCCAAGCUAAAGAGUUGGUGGAUGCACCUGACAAGUGGCUCUGGUAUAAGAUUUGCAAGAAUGAGUACAGGCGUUGUGCUGUCAUAGAAGCGUAUGACUGUGUCAAGCACUUGCUGCUUGAUAUUGUUAAACGUGGCUCUGAAGAGCAUUCCAUUGUUACUGUCUUGUUUCAAGAAAUUGACCACUCUCUUCAGAUUGAGAAGUUCACUAAAACGUUUAACAUGACUGCACUGCCGCAGAUCCAUGCCAAGUUGAUAAUUCUUGUUGAGCCGUUGAACAAGCCCAAGAAAGAUACUAACAAGGUGGUGAAUGUCUUACAGGCACUUUAUGAGAUAGUAAUUCGUGAUUUUUUUAAGGACAAAAGAAGCAUUGAACAGCUGAGAGAGGAUGGUUUGGCUCCUCAGAGGUCAGUGUCCAGUUCAGGGCUGCUCUUUGAAAGUGCUGUAGUGUUGCCGGAUCCUGAUAAUGAGAUUUUCUAUAGGCAGGUUAGACGCUUGCACACAGUUCUUACAUCUCGGGAUUCAAUGCACAAUAUCCCAACAAAUCUUGAGGCCAGACGUCGAAUUGCCUUCUUUAGCAACUCACUGUUUAUGAACAUGCCUCAUGCUCCCCAGGUUGAGAAAAUGAUGGCCUUCAGUGUUCUAACACCGUAUUACAACGAAGAAGUUUUAUAUAGCAAGGAACAACUUCGAACUGAGAAUGAAGAUGGGAUAUCCAUCCUAUACUAUUUGCAGACAAUUUAUGAUGAUGAGUGGAAGAAUUUCUUGGAGCGGAUGCGCCGAGAAGGAAUGACAAAUGAUAAUGAAAUAUGGACAGAAAAGCUGAGAGAUCUACGUCUCUGGGCAUCUUAUAGAGGUCAGACACUUGGACGCACUGUAAGGGGAAUGAUGUAUUACUAUCGGGCUCUCAGGAUGCUUGCUUUUCUUGAUUCUGCAUCUGAGAUGGACAUUAGGGAAGGAUCUCGAGAACUCAGUUCAAUGAGGCCAAGCAGCAGCUUGGAUGGUAUGGGCUCACAAAGAUCAGCUUCUUCAAGGAGUUUAAGUAGAGCCAAUAGUUCAGUGAGUUUGUUAUUCAAAGGCCAUGAGCAUGGGACUGCCUUGAUGAAAUAUACGUAUGUGGUUGCCUGCCAGAUAUAUGGAACUCAAAAAGCAAAAAAAGAUCCCCAUGCUGAUGAUAUUUUGUACCUAAUGGAAAAUAAUGAAGCCCUUCGAGUAGCUUAUGUUGACGAGGUUACUGCUGGUAGGGAUGAGAAGGGGUAUUACUCUGUUCUUGUGAAGUAUGACCAAAAGUUGAAGAAGGAAGUGGAGAUCUAUAGAAUUAAAUUGCCUGGUCCCUUGAAGCUUGGAGAGGGAAAACCAGAGAAUCAGAAUCAUGCCCUCAUAUUUACUCGGGGGGAUGCUGUUCAGACUAUUGAUAUGAACCAAGAUAACUAUUUCGAAGAGGCACUGAAAAUGCGGAAUCUUUUGGAGGAAUACAAAACAUAUUAUGGUAUCAGGAAGCCUACUAUUUUAGGAGUUCGUGAACACAUUUUUACUGGUUCUGUCUCAUCACUGGCUUGGUUUAUGUCAGCUCAGGAGACAAGUUUUGUCACCUUGGGACAGCGCGUAUUGGCAAACCCUUUAAAAGUUCGAAUGCAUUACGGCCAUCCAGAUGUGUUUGAUAGGUUUUGGUUUUUGACUCGUGGUGGAAUUAGCAAAGCUUCUAGAGUGAUUAACAUAAGUGAGGACAUUUUUGCUGGCUUCAAUUGCACAUUGCGUGGUGGCAAUGUUACACACCAUGAGUACAUCCAAGUUGGCAAAGGAAGAGAUGUCGGACUGAAUCAAAUAUCCAUGUUUGAAGCGAAAGUUGCUAGUGGAAAUGGUGAACAAAUCCUCAGCAGAGAUAUUUAUAGGCUGGGUCAUAGACUGGACUUCUUCCGUAUGCUAUCAUUCUUCUAUACAACUGUCGGAUUCUUUUUCAACACGAUGAUGGUUGUCCUGACAGUCUAUGCAUUUCUAUGGGGCCGGCUUUACCUGGCUCUUAGUGGAGUUGAAGGUUCUGCUCUGGCUAAUGAUAGCAAUAAUAACAAAGCACUUGGUACAAUUUUGAAUCAGCAGUUCAUCAUCCAGCUUGGUUUGUUCACAGCACUUCCAAUGAUUGUGGAGAAUUCUCUUGAGCUUGGGUUCCUUGCAGCCAUUUGGGAUUUCUUAACCAUGCAGCUCCAGCUUUCUUCUGUUUUCUACACAUUCUCCAUGGGAACUCGUACCCACUUUUUUGGUCGUACCAUUCUUCAUGGUGGGGCGAAGUACCGGGCAACUGGUCGUGGUUUUGUCGUGCAGCACAAGAGCUUUGCUGAAAACUAUAGACUCUAUGCUCGUAGCCAUUUUGUGAAGGCGAUUGAACUUGGGCUUAUACUUACUGUUUAUGCUUCACACAGCCCCAUAGCUACCAACACUUUUGUUUACAUAGCUAUGACAAUCUCAAGUUGGUUUCUUGUAUUUUCUUGGAUCAUGGCCCCUUUUGUAUUCAAUCCUUCAGGCUUUGAUUGGUUGAAAACUGUUAAUGACUUUGAUGAUUUUAUGAACUGGAUUUGGUACCGUGGCAGUGUGUUUGCAAAAGCUGAACAGAGCUGGGAAAGGUGGUGGUAUGAGGAGCAGGAUCAUCUGAGGACAACUGGCCUUUGGGGGAAGUUGUUGGAGAUAAUUCUAGAUCUCCGUUUCUUCUUAUUUCAGUAUGGGAUUGUAUACCAGUUGGGUAUUGCUGCUGGAAGCACCAGCAUCGCUGUUUAUUUGCUAUCAUGGAUCUAUAUGAUUGUGGCUAUUGGGAUUUAUGUACUGGUUGCAUAUGCCCGAGACAAAUAUGCUGCAAAAGAUCACAUUUACUAUCGGCUAGUUCAGUUCCUUGUGAUUAUUCUUGUGAUACUUGUGAUCAUUGCCUUGCUACAAUUCACUGAUUUCAAAUUUAUGGAUAUUUUCACAAGUCUGCUGGCAUUCAUCCCCACAGGGUGGGCCCUGAUUUCCAUUGCGCAAGUGUUGAGGCCCUUUUUGCAGUCCACCAUGCUUUGGGACACUAUUAUUUCCAUGGCUCGGUUGUAUGACAUAAUGUUUGGAGUGAUUGUUAUGGCUCCCGUUGCACUACUAUCAUGGAUGCCUGGGUUCCAGUCGAUGCAGACAAGGAUCCUGUUUAAUGAAGCAUUCAGUAGGGGACUCCGGAUAUUCCAGAUUGUGACAGGGAAGAAAAGUUUUGACUUGUAAUUCGAGCUUUGAAUUCUGAAGUCAGUUUGAAAUGAAGUUCUCAAAUGAAUCAUCUGAUGGCUUGAAUUUGGCCGGAGGUGUAGAAAACAAUAGAGGCAGAAGAUUAGAUUUAUUUCUCAUUUGUGGAGAGUUGUGUGUGUAUGUUAAUCGAGUGGCGACUGCCAUUCACUGCAUUUCAACUGUGGGAAGGGAGGUCGAUUCAGUCUGGGUUGUGCGGCCCGUAGGCGGGACUUAAUCUGGUCGGCCCUUCAGAUAAGUCAAUAUACUCUACACUAUCUUAGCCCGACCAAUAUACAUACUUUCCUAGGGGCAGGACUGGCUGCUACCUCAUCAAACUGGCCCCCUCAACCCAGCGAACUGGGGAGCUGCAUACUCUCUGAGCACAGUUUGAUGGUACCAACGCACUAUCUAAGAUAUGUGGUUGCACUCUAUUUGUAUAUAGCAACGGUACCGUGCUCUGUAUUCUUUAUCUGUAUCUGUCUAUAAUCAUUCCUCAAGGAUCUGAUAUUGUAUAUAUAUACAUACUCUUUUAUUGUUUUCAUCAUGUUUCCAAAAUUACCAUAACGCUAUCAUUCUGUACUGUAAAUACUGUAAUCUCUGUAUCAUAUAUCUGUAGGAUCUUGAUGCUA